AGCUGAUGCAGCGACGCCGCGUGGGGGAUGAGGCCUUCGGGUUGUAAACUCCUUUCGCUACCGACGAAGCCUCUUGGGGUGACGGUAGGUGGAGAAGAAGCACCGGCUAACUACGUGCCAGCAGCCGCGGUAAUACGUAGGGUGCGAGCGUUGUCCGGAUUUACUGGGCGUAAAGAGCUCGUAGGUGGUUUGUCGCGUCGUCUGUGAAAUUCCGGGGCUUAACUUCGGGCGUGCAGGCGAUACGGGCAUAACUUGAGUGCUGUAGGGGUAACUGGAAUUCCUGGUGUAGCGGUGGAAUGCGCAGAUAUCAGGAGGAACACCGAUGGCGAAGGCAGGUUACUGGGCAGUUACUGACGCUGAGGAGCGAAAGCAUGGGUAGCGAACA
This 385-nucleotide ribosomal RNA is filed under the name Corynebacterium mastitidis. Its description in RNAcentral is "bacterial SSU rRNA". It matches the Rfam family "Bacterial small subunit ribosomal RNA", at positions 381 to 774 of the family's 1533-position model. The record is from RNAcentral. Lineage: Bacteria; Bacillati; Actinomycetota; Actinomycetes; Mycobacteriales; Corynebacteriaceae.